UACGGAAGGGGCAAGCGUUGUUCGGAAUCAUUGGGCGUAAAGGGCGCGUAGGUGGUUCUGUAUGUCUACCGUGAAAGCGUACGGCUCAACCGUAUUUUGUCGGUAGAAACUGCAGGACUUGAGGCUGGGAGGGGCUGGUGGAAUUCCCUGUGUAGCGGUGAAAUGCGUAGAGAUGGGGGAGGACACUCGUGGCGAAGGCGGCCAGCUAGACCAGUUCUGACACUGAGGCGCGACAGCGUGGGGAGCAAACAGG
RNAcentral lists this ribosomal RNA (253 nucleotides) under uncultured bacterium. RNAcentral's name for it is "partial 16S ribosomal RNA". It matches the Rfam family "Bacterial small subunit ribosomal RNA", at positions 524 to 776 of the family's 1533-position model. The record is from RNAcentral.